UCGUGCGGCCGCGGGUCACGGCGUCGAGGGUGCGCUGCAGCCGCACCUCGGUGGCCGGGUCGACCGCGCUGGUCGCCUCGUCGAGCACGAGC
RNAcentral lists this transfer RNA (92 nucleotides) under Asanoa siamensis. RNAcentral's name for it is "tRNA-Cys". The record is from RNAcentral. Lineage: Bacteria; Bacillati; Actinomycetota; Actinomycetes; Micromonosporales; Micromonosporaceae.